This 330-nucleotide ribosomal RNA is filed under the name Salmonella enterica subsp. enterica. RNAcentral's name for it is "partial 23S ribosomal RNA". It matches the Rfam family "Bacterial large subunit ribosomal RNA", at positions 1 to 358 of the family's 2925-position model. The record is from RNAcentral. Lineage: Bacteria; Pseudomonadati; Pseudomonadota; Gammaproteobacteria; Enterobacterales; Enterobacteriaceae. RNAcentral also lists the same sequence under 1 other name.
GGGUUGUGAGGUUAAGCGACUAAGCGUACACGGUGGAUGCCCUGGCAGUCAGAGGCGAUGAAGGGCGUGCUAAUCUGCGAUAAGCGCCGGUAAGGUGAUAUGAACCGUUAUAACCGGCGAUACCCGAAUGGGGAAACCCAGUGUGACUCGUCACACUAUCAUUAACUGAAUCCAUAGGUUAAUGAGGCGAACCGGGGGAACUGAAACAUCUAAGUACCCCGAGGAAAAGAAAUCAACCGAGAUUCCCCCAGUAGCGGCGAGCGAACGGGGAGGAGCCCAGAGCCUGAAUCAGCAUGUGUGUUAGUGGAAGCGUCUGGAAAGGCGCGCGAU